This is a microRNA precursor of Gorilla gorilla gorilla (western lowland gorilla), 71 nucleotides long. The record is from Ensembl. Lineage: Eukaryota; Metazoa; Chordata; Mammalia; Primates; Hominidae.
GCAGAGGUGAGGUGACCUCCACAGGGCCACCCGGGGAGUAAGUAGCCAAGUGGAAGUUACUUUACCUCUGU